RNAcentral lists this unclassified non-coding RNA (213 nucleotides) under Hevea brasiliensis (rubber tree). The record is from RNAcentral. Lineage: Eukaryota; Viridiplantae; Streptophyta; Magnoliopsida; Malpighiales; Euphorbiaceae.
CUCAGAUAUUUCACAUCAGGAUGUGGUUUUGAAGAUAUUUCACUAUUCUCAUUUGCUGCUACGCCAACAGAUGAAGGCUUUUUUUGAGCACAUAUUGGGCUCUUGAACAGCUACUAAGCCAUUAAGCUUCUGUUCCUUGAUAUCCACUAUAUGAUUAUUAGCUAACCCCUGCUUCUCAGAUGACUGAAUAGCAGUUUGGCAUUUUUCCAACCU